AACAUGUAGAUGGAGAAUGUUGUUGAUUCUUUUUUCUGUAUAGUUAAAAUGGCUAGUCGUAGGAUGUCUCUUAGGGUGCGUUUGGUUCGCAUUAUAAAAGAUUACUAGGAAUAAAAGAUAUCCGAGAAUCUUAUUUCUAUUAAUCCUAUUACUAAGAAUGUGGAAUUCCUGUGUUUGGUUCGCACGGUAAUAUUAAUUAGCCAUGUUAUUUAAUAUUACAAAAAAUAUACAAUUAAUUAAUUAAUUAAUUUAAUUAAUUUUAGAUAAUGUUACCAAAAGUUUCAACAUUUUUUAGAAAAAAGGGAGAGAGAGUAUAAGUUAGAGAGAGAGAGCAUAAUUAAAAAAAUAGAAAGAAAAAUAUAGUCGAAAUUAGAGAGUAAGAGAGUUGAAAUUUUAGAAAGAGAGAGAGAGAGAAAGCUUAGUUUAGAGAGAGAAAAAAAGUUGAAUUUUAGAGAGAAAAAUAAGUUUAGAGAGAGAUAUAAGGUUAGAGUAUAAAGAAAAAUAAUAUCAAUUAGCCGGCGGGUAGGAAGAAAGAAAGAGAUUAGACAUAUUAUGAUUACCCCAAUCCAUUAAUAUGAGGAUACCCACCCUCCCUCAAGGGAAUGAGAUUAGCACUUUGGGGUGAAUCUUAUUCCCAAGUGAAUCCAAUAUUACCAACUAGAUUACUUAGCGCGUUUAGCCAAACACCGUCAUAUUUUUUUAUUCCCAUUGGAUUACUAGAAAUCUUUAAAAGAUAGCGCGAACCAAACGCACCCUUAGUGUUCAUUAGGAUAGACAGUUAGUUAUGGAUGGAAAUGGUCCCCAAUAUGUCGGUGGUCGAAGGAAAGUUAUUGCGAUUCGUUCAUAUACGACCUAUACGAAUUUUGAGAUGAGAAUGUAUCGUUUUGUAAAUUGUAAUAGAGAAGAAUGUUGUCUUAAAUUCACAAUUCGAUAUCCUACAGGAGCGAAUGAAUAUAUUGCUCAUGAUAUAGUAGGUGAUGAAUCAUUGGAGGGAUUAAUUGGAUUGUUUGAACAUUAUGGAUGUGUGUUGCUAUACAUCGAGAAAGAUUUAAAUCCGUCAAAGA
RNAcentral lists this long non-coding RNA (1064 nucleotides) under Ananas comosus (pineapple). Its description in RNAcentral is "long non-coding RNA (ACOM_LNC019633)". Lineage: Eukaryota; Viridiplantae; Streptophyta; Magnoliopsida; Poales; Bromeliaceae. The record is from RNAcentral.